UACGUAGGGGGCGAGCGUUGUCCGAAGUUACUGGGCGUAAAGAGCGCGUAGGCGGGUUUUUAAGUGAGGGGUGAAAGUUCGAGGCUCAACCUCGGAACUGCCUUUCAUACUGGGAACCUUGAGUGCGGGAGAGGCGAGUGGAAUGGUCGGUGUAGCGGUGAAAUGCGUAGAUAUCGAUCGGAACACCCAUGGCGAAGGCAGCUCGCUGGCCUGUAACUGACGCUGAGGCGCGAAAGCGUGGGGAGCAAACAGG
RNAcentral lists this ribosomal RNA (253 nucleotides) under uncultured prokaryote. RNAcentral's name for it is "partial 16S ribosomal RNA". It matches the Rfam family "Bacterial small subunit ribosomal RNA", at positions 524 to 776 of the family's 1533-position model. The record is from RNAcentral.